GAUGAACGCUGGCGGCGUGCCUAAUACAUGCAAGUCGAGCGAACAGAUGAGGAUCUUGCUCCUCUGACGUUAGCGGCGGACGGGUGAGUAACACGUGAAUAACCUACCUAUAAGACUGGGAUAACUUCGGGAAACCGGAGCUAAUACCGGAUAAUAUAUUGAACCGCAUGGUUCAGUAGUGAAAGACGGUUUUGCUGUCGCUUAUAGAUGUAUCCGCGCCGCAUUAGCUAGUUGGUAAGGUAACGGCUUACCAAGGCAACGAUGCGUAGCCGACGUGAGAAGGUGAACGGCGACACUGGAACUGAGACACGGUCCAGAGUCCUACGGGAGGCCGCAGUAGGUAAGCUUCCGCACUGGGCGAAAGCCUGACGGAGCAACGCCGCGUUAGUGAUGAAGGUCUGCGGAUCGUAUAACGCUGUUAUUAGGGAAGAACAAAUGUGUAAGUAACUAUGCACGUCUUGACGGUAGCUAAUCAGAAAGCCCCGGCUAACUACGUG
RNAcentral lists this ribosomal RNA (497 nucleotides) under uncultured bacterium. RNAcentral describes it as "partial 16S ribosomal RNA". It matches the Rfam family "Bacterial small subunit ribosomal RNA", at positions 28 to 507 of the family's 1533-position model. The record is from RNAcentral.